This is a long non-coding RNA of Mesocricetus auratus (golden hamster), 781 nucleotides long. RefSeq lists it as uncharacterized. The transcript is spliced from 2 exons. Lineage: Eukaryota; Metazoa; Chordata; Mammalia; Rodentia; Cricetidae. The record is from RefSeq and is a predicted model, not a curated record.
GAUUUCCUGAAAGCAAUCUUCAACUGCUUCAGAAAGAGAAUGGGGCUCUACUUCAUCGACUCCACCUGAUUCAACUUGAUGUAUCUGAAUUGCCACACGUCAUUGACACCACCAGACAAACAGCAUCCUCAAAAUGACUAGGAACUACAUAACUCAACAUAUCUCCAGACCAAGAAACUAGUACAGUGCACAUUCUACAAUCUGGCCAGAGCUUCAGAUGAGAGCUUCCAUCAACACUAGAACUCCAAUCAGGAACUUCAUCAAGCAUCUCCUGCCAAACAGAGACUGUCUAACCUACUUAAGAGUUUAAUACACUACCAAUUUUCUUCUCACAUGUUCCCAUGAGAUUGUCAUUGACCCAUCUCAGCAGGAAGUAGUUUUGAGAAUUCCAAACUCCCUCUCCUACUUUUGAUUUGCAAGAAAGUUUACACCUGUUUGGGAACCUGUCUGGAUCAGACAGAACAGAGCAUGUGAUCAAGGAUUUAGACCAAAGCAGAAAACAAACAUGAAUGUGUGCUUACAAGAGACGAGGAAGAGGAAGGAAGACAGUUUUUCCCUCCAGACCCAGUGUGUGGGGACUGGGCCAUUGACUCAGUUGGCCAAAGCAUUUGGUGCUCCUGCAGAGGACCAGUUCCACGAGUUCAGCUGUCAGCAAAUGAGUUAGACUUCUCAAACUUCUCUAACUGGAGAUCCAGAGGAAUGAAGUCCUCCUCUUGUCUCUCUGGGUGCAUCCAUUUCUGUAAACCAAACACAAUAAAAUGAAUAAAAAAUUUGACAAGCA